Molecule: long non-coding RNA, 456 nt
Filed under: Papio anubis (olive baboon)
Lineage: Eukaryota; Metazoa; Chordata; Mammalia; Primates; Cercopithecidae
Description: lncRNA (ENSPANG00000044042.1)
Source: RNAcentral
AUGCUGAGGACGCAGCGCCGGAGAGGCAGGUGGCGGCCCCUGCGAAGAGGUGGUCCCCGCAAAGCACACGGAGACCACGAAGUUCCUUCUCGCCCACUCACAGCAAUGCUGCACGAGACCCAAGGGGAGCCGUCAAUUAGAGCCGUGCUUGAGCCUAAGGCUGACCUGAACCGUUUGAAGGCAGAUCUUCCAUGGAGCGCCCCGGUCCUUUUCUGGAAAGGUCAAAGGGACGAGAGGGGGUCUCUGCAGUGUCCUGGAUCUGGUUUCAACCUCACCUUCUCCAUGUAUGAGAAAACAAGUCACUUGGAUUCACUGUGCCUCGGUUUCCCCAGAUGGCGAGCAGGACUCAGUCUUUUGCACCUGGUCCAUCAGAGGACAAGCUUUCAUGUGUUAGCCAUCACCUCCGUCAUCACCAUCAUUGUCAUCAUCAUCGUCCUCAUCACCUCGACACACUGA